This 253-nucleotide ribosomal RNA is filed under the name uncultured bacterium. RNAcentral's name for it is "partial 16S ribosomal RNA". It matches the Rfam family "Bacterial small subunit ribosomal RNA", at positions 524 to 776 of the family's 1533-position model. The record is from RNAcentral.
GACAGAGGGUGCAAACGUUGCUCGGAUUUACUGGGCGUAAAGCGCGUGUAGGCGGGACGAUAAGUCGGGUGUGAAAUCCCUGGGCUCAACCUAGGAACUGCAUCCGAAACUGUCGUUCUAGAGUGGUGGAGAGGAGAGCGGAAUUCCCGGUGUAGAGGUGAAAUUCGUAGAUAUCGGGAGGAACAUCGGUGGCGAAGGCGGCUCUCUGGACACUUACUGACGCUGAGACGCGAAAGCGUGGGGAGCAAACAGG